UACGGAGGGUCCAAGCGUUAUCCGGAAUCAUUGGGCUUAAAGGGUCCGUAGGCGGUUUUGUAAGUCAGUGGUGAAAGCCCAUCGCUCAACGGUGGAACGGCCAUUGAUACUGCAAGACUUGAAUUACUAGGAAGUAACUAGAAUAUGUAGUGUAGCGGUGAAAUGCUUAGAGAUUACAUGGAAUACCAAUUGCGAAGGCAGGUUACUAACAAUAUAUUGACGCUGAUGGACGAAAGCGUGGGUAGCGAACAGG
Molecule: ribosomal RNA, 253 nt
Filed under: uncultured bacterium
Lineage: Bacteria
Description: partial 16S ribosomal RNA
Rfam family: Bacterial small subunit ribosomal RNA
Source: RNAcentral